This 1510-nucleotide long non-coding RNA is filed under the name Equus asinus (donkey). Its description in RNAcentral is "lncRNA (ENSEASG00005029901.1)". The record is from RNAcentral. Lineage: Eukaryota; Metazoa; Chordata; Mammalia; Perissodactyla; Equidae.
UGCAUAGUCCGUAUACAUAGUGCACACACAAGCGCAUAGUCCACAUACAUAGUGCAUACACAGUGCAUAGUCCAUAUACAUAGUGCAUACACAAGCGCAUAGUCCAUAUACAAAGUGUGUACACAGCACAUAGUCCAUUAACAUAGUGCAUACACAUAGUGCAUAGUCCAUAUACAUAGUGCAUACACAUAGCGCAUAUCCAUAUACACAUAGUGUAUACACAUAGUGCAUAGUCCAUAUACAUAGUGCAUACACAGCGCAUAGUCCAUAUACAUAGUGCACACACAAGCACAUAGUCCAUAUACAUAGUGCACACACAAGCGCAUAGUCCACAUACAUAGUGCAUAGUCCAUAUACAUAGUGCAUACACAGCGCAUAGUCCAUAUACAUAGUGCACACACAAGCACAUAGUCCAUAUACAUAGUGCAUACACAGCGCAUAGUCCAUAUACAUAGUGCAUACACAAGCGCAUAGUCCACAUACAUAGUGCAUAGUCCAUAUACAUAGUGCAUACACAGCGCAUAGUCCAUAUACAUAGUGCACACACAAGCACAUAGUCCAUAUACAUAGUGCAUACACAGCGCAUAGUCCAUAUACAUAGUGCACACACAAGCACAUAGUCCAUAUACAUAGUGCACACACAAGCGCAUAGUCCACAUACAUAGUGCAUAGUCCAUAUACAUAGUGCAUACACAGCGCAUAGUCCAUAUACAUAGUGCACACACAAGCGCAUAGUCCAUAUACAUAGUGCACACACAAGCGCAUAGUCCACAUACAUAGUGCAUAGUCCAUAUACAUAGUGCACACACAAGCGCAUAGUCCAUAUACAUAGUGCAUACACAGCGCAUAGUCCAUAUACAUAGUGCAUACACAUAGCGCAUAGUCCACAUACAUAGUGCAUACACAGUGCAUAGUCCAUAUACAUAGUGCACACACAAGCGCAUAGUCCAUAUACAUAGUGCAUACACAGCGCAUAGUCCACAUACAUAGUGCAUACACAGCGCAUAGUCCAUAUACAUAGUGCAUACACAGUGCAUAGUCCAUAUACAUAGUGCACACACAAGCGCAUAGUCCAUAUACAUAGUGCAUAUACAUAGUCCACAGUCCAUAUUCAUAGUGUAUAGGGCUCUUGAUUCAGGGCUUUAAAAUGUGGCUUAUAAUUUAAAAACGUUUAAGACAAAAUAUAUUUUAUUACAAUCAACAGAGAAAGGGCAGGAUAUACAUUCUCUUAGGUUGAAAAAAGCAGUCAGUUCCUUUUUUUUUUUAGCUGUAUAGUAUUAUAGAUUAAACUUUUAGAAAAAAAGUAAAAAUAUGUAUAGUUUUGUUCAUGGCAUAGACUUUAAAAAGUCAAUGUUCAGCAUAGUCUGAGAAGUUGGGGGUGACGAUAUGCAUCUCUGUCACGUUUGUGCUGCUUUGCCCUGAGGGGGCUCUGUCAUCUCAGUAGCAAGGUCUCCCAUCUCUCUGAAUGUGCUGUCACUAUGGUAAAAGAAAAGGCACUCAUCUCUUUCCC